UACGGAGGGUGCAAGCGUUAUCCGGAUUCACUGGGUUUAAAGGGUGCGUAGGCGGGCAGGUAAGUCCGUGGUGAAAUCUCUGAGCUUAACUCAGAAACUGCCAUGGAUACUAUUUGUCUUGAAUGUUGUGGAGGUAAGCGGAAUAUGUCAUGUAGCGGUGAAACGCUUAGAUAUGACAUAGAACACCAAUUGCGAAGGCAGCUUACUACACAAAUAUUGACGCUGAGGCACGAAAGCGUGGGGAUCAAACAGG
RNAcentral lists this ribosomal RNA (253 nucleotides) under uncultured bacterium. Its description in RNAcentral is "partial 16S ribosomal RNA". It matches the Rfam family "Bacterial small subunit ribosomal RNA", at positions 524 to 776 of the family's 1533-position model. The record is from RNAcentral.